GUAGCACUUGCGGCAUUGAGUGAUUCAGAAGGUUGUGGAGCCUCAUGUUCAGGUAGUAGUUUAGACCAGUCUAUUUUAGAGGCCUCUAGACCUCAACAAGCUCCACUGCCUGACUAUGGUUUAGAUGAUCUUCAUUCUGAUGACUCCAGUGGUGAAGAAAAUAAAGUUUUGCCAUGUAGAAAACGAGCACGCGGAGCGAGUCAGUAUUAAAUUUGCAACAUGAAAUCUCUCACUCACAAAUGUUUACGUUCUUUGUUAGUGAGAAAAGUACACCUGAUCUCUCCAAGUUAUUUAAUGAUAUUGAUAAACGGUUAUUGACUCGGCGUUCAAGUGCAGUUUAGCAUUCCCCUGGAAAGGAAAAGCUUGCCUAUUCAAAUUAAUGAUUUGAUAAUGUUAACAAUUUACUAGUCACUGAAGUGGAUGUGUCUAAAGUUUUAUACUUAAUUGUACAUGUACUUUAAACAAUUAAGAGUUAUUUUAUCAAAUUUUGUAAUUUUAAAAAUAAUUGUACAAUAAUAUUUAUGCAUUUGAAAGUA
Molecule: long non-coding RNA, 536 nt
Organism: Frankliniella occidentalis (western flower thrips)
Lineage: Eukaryota; Metazoa; Arthropoda; Insecta; Thysanoptera; Thripidae
Exons: 3
Source: RefSeq, a predicted model, not a curated record